RNAcentral lists this ribosomal RNA (454 nucleotides) under Callyntra pehuenche. Its description in RNAcentral is "partial large subunit ribosomal RNA". It matches the Rfam family "Bacterial large subunit ribosomal RNA", at positions 1807 to 2532 of the family's 2925-position model. The record is from RNAcentral. Lineage: Eukaryota; Metazoa; Arthropoda; Insecta; Coleoptera; Tenebrionidae.
UCAAAAACAUGUCCUUUUGUUAAUAAUUUAAGGUCUGACCUGCCCAAUGAAUAUUUAAAUGGCCGCAGUAUUUUGACUGUGCAAAGGUAGCAUAAUCAUUAGUUUUUUAAUUGUAAGCUGGAAUGAAUGGUUUGAUGAGAAAAUAACUGUCUCAAUUUAAUUGUUUUAGAAUUUUAAUUUUAAGUGAAAAAGCUUAAAUUUUUAAGGAAGACGAGAAGACCCUAUAGAGUUUAAUAUUUCUAUAUUAUGAUUGGUUUUAGAUUUAUUUAAGAUUUUAAUGUAGAAUUAUUUUAUUGGGGUGAUAUUAAAAUUUAAUAAACUUUUAAUUUAUUUAAACAUUUUUUUGUGAUUAUUUGAUCCUAAUUUUUAGAUUAUAAGAUAAAAUUACCUUAGGGAUAACAGCGUAAUUUUUUUUAAGAGUUCUUAUCGAAAAAAAAGUUUGCGACCUCGAUGU